CUACGGGUCGCUCCAGUGGGGAAUAUUGGACAAUGGGGGAAACCCUGAUCCAGCAAUGCCGCGUGUGUGAAGAAGGCCUGCGGGUUGUAAAGCACUUUCGGUUGGGAGGACUGCUUCCAGCACUAAUAUUGUUGGAAGUUGACGUUACCUUCAGAAGAAGCACCGGCUAACUCCGUGCCAGCAGCCGCGUUAAUACGGAGGGUGCAAGCGUUAAUCGGAAUUACGGGGCGUAAAGCGCGCGUAGGCGGCUAGAUCAGUCGGGUGUGAAAGCCCCGGGCUUAACCUGGGAACUGCAUCCGAUACUGUCUAGCUUGAGUACAGGAGAGGAGAGUGGAAUUCCACAUGUAGCGGUGAAAUGCGUAGAUAUGUGGAGGAACACCAAUGGCGAAGGCAGCUCUCUGGCCUGAUACUGACGCUGAGGUGCGAAAGCGUGGGGAGCAAACAGGAUUAGAUACCCUCGUAGUC
RNAcentral lists this ribosomal RNA (465 nucleotides) under uncultured bacterium. RNAcentral describes it as "partial 16S ribosomal RNA". It matches the Rfam family "Bacterial small subunit ribosomal RNA", at positions 339 to 795 of the family's 1533-position model. The record is from RNAcentral.